GAUGAACGCUGGCGGCGUGCCUAAUACAUGCAGGUCGAGCGAACGGACGAGAAGCUUGCUUUUCUGAUGUUAGCGGCGGACGGGUGAGUAACACGUGGAUAACCUACCUAUAAGACUGGAUAACUUCGGGAAACCGGAGCUAAUACCGGAUAAUAUUUUGAACCGCAUGGUUCCAAAGUGAAAGACGGUCUUGCUGUCACUUAUAGAUGGAUCCGCGCUGCAUUAGCUAGUUGGUAAGGUAACGGCUCACCAAGGCAACGAUGCAUAGCCGACCUGAGAGGGUGAUCGGCCACACUGGAACUGAGACACGGUCCAGACUCCUACGGGAGGCAGCAGUAGGGAAUCUUCCGCAAUGGGCGAAAGCCUGACGGAGCAACGCCGCGUGAGUGAUGAAGGUCUUCGGAUCGUAAAACUCUGUUAUUAGGGAAGAACAUAUGUGUAAGUAACUGUGCACAUCUUGACGGUACCUAAUCAGAAAGCCACGGCUAACUACGUG
Molecule: ribosomal RNA, 496 nt
Filed under: uncultured bacterium
Lineage: Bacteria
Description: partial 16S ribosomal RNA
Rfam family: Bacterial small subunit ribosomal RNA
Source: RNAcentral